Long non-coding RNA from Dreissena polymorpha, 1438 nucleotides. RefSeq lists it as uncharacterized. NCBI's taxonomy places the organism in Eukaryota, Metazoa, Mollusca, Bivalvia, Myida, Dreissenidae. The transcript is spliced from 2 exons. The record is from RefSeq and is a predicted model, not a curated record.
GCAUGGUGGAAUCUGUGGGGAUUGUGGGAUUGGUUAAGGAGAAAUAAAUAUAUUGUUCGCUACUGUCCUAGACAUAGACCUCAAGACAUGCGCUAAAGAUAUUAAUUACUGAAGAAGUUCCCAAACCUUAGAUGACAAAAAUUCUUAAUGGUGGCAUACUCGGUGAGAAAUUGGGCAACAUAAACUGAACACACCAGAAACUCAACAACCAACAACAAGGAAAACAUGCGUCUACAAUAUGACAUGUUAAUACUCUUCUUCAUUACAUGACAUUCGUUAUUUCUUCGUGGUCAUCAUGGAGUAAUACACUUAAAGACUCAAUAUUUACAAAGAAAAAAUGCAGUACUGCAUGUUUAAAAUAGUUAUUAUCGAUGUCAGGUGGAUACUAAACCAAUGUCACAAUUCUUCAAGUUUCUACAUAACAGCUAGAAUAUUAAGUUUGCGAUAUUCAAAUAAUCUAUGGUAAUGUUCGCUUUGUUUGAUCAUAGUAUAUUAAUCUUAAAAACAUCUGGAUAGGUUUUGUAUAGUAUUUGUUCCACAAUUUUGAUCGGACUAUGGAUAUAAACAUGCCUUCAUAGUCUUGAUAUAUGUUCAGUAUAUGGAACGUAUCCCCCGUGUUUAAAUAAUUUUCUACAUUUAAUGCAACUUCUAAAUGAACAAAGUAAGGCCACGGUUUGAAAUACCAACUUCUUCAUCACCUGUAAUACCUUGUAUUUAUUGUGUUUUCCUAUUCACUUUGAUUCAUUUGCCUAAUUAUAACUAGAUUGUAAAGAUUUUCUAUUCUAGAAGUGCACUAUAUAUGUGCCAAACGGAAAAUUUCAUGUAAUAAAUCGGCUAAAAGUUUAAAAAAUUGCACAAAAUAAUGCUUUUUUUUUAUUAAAAAUAUGAAUUUUACAUACCUUUUAUUUUCCAGCGUUAUAAAAAUUGAAAAUGAAACUGUUGAAAUGUUUUCACUUCCUAUGUUUUCUCAUGUCCGUACGCUAACUGAACCACUCAUUUAAGCACUUUAAAAACUAUUUGUCGUUGAUCUUUCAGAAGCCCCCACCAUAUUUCGAAAUAUAUCAUGUUUCUAUCCGUUCAUUAAAAUGUUUUUAAACAUAUAAGUGACAAGAAAAUACGACUGGAACUGGAAGGUCAACUGGAAGUACUUUGCGCUUGUGUAAAUUGACUUUUUUUAAUUAUUACGGAAUUGUUCACAUUUGCAAUAUGUCUAAAUUGUUUUCUUACGUUAAUAAGUUGUAGCAGUAUUUUUACACUAUUUUAUGCAAUGAUUUGUAGGCAAUCGUCUGAAAUUAUUUCUCAUUUUCUUUCAAUAUUUCAAUUAACACCUAUGUUUUAUUUGUCGCAUAUAAAUCAACCAUUUUGUUUUGUUUUAUCAAAACCAUAUUCAUUACUUAUCAUGGUUACGUCAUGGCGUCUUAAUAAACAUGAUACUUAC